GCCGGGCUGGCGGAACGGUAGACGCGGGCGACUCAAAAUCGUCUGUCCGGAAGGACGUAGGGGUUCGAGUCCCCUGCCCGGUA
RNAcentral lists this transfer RNA (83 nucleotides) under Auraticoccus monumenti. Its description in RNAcentral is "tRNA_Leu_CAA". It matches the Rfam family "tRNA". Rfam says of the family: Transfer RNA (tRNA) molecules are approximately 80 nucleotides in length. Their secondary structure includes four short double-helical elements and three loops (D, anti-codon, and T loops). The record is from RNAcentral. Lineage: Bacteria; Bacillati; Actinomycetota; Actinomycetes; Propionibacteriales; Propionibacteriaceae.